GCAGACCCCACUCUGAGAAUCACUGCUCCACAGCCCCCUACCUCGCGGAUCCCUCCGCCCAGAACUUGGACGAAUCAGAUGUGAGCGUGGGUCUACUCAGUAUAAAUAUUUUUAACCGAUCUGGAGACAUUCCACAGCAGAAACGUUACCAUAAUCACGCACCGUUAGCUGGGACCUAAAGUUACAGAUUAGGAGAAACAUCUUGCGGGUCUCACUGGCGCCCUGGACCCGGAUGCGACCUUCCCCGCCUCUCAUCCUCGGGGUCUCCCCCUGUUCUUCCCCCGCCGCACCCCACGCGGAGUCCACCCCCGCCUUGGCCUCGCAGCUGCACAGGCUGGAGUUCUUGCUGCACCUGUGCCUGCCGCGCAGUGCCCUUCAUACACCGAGCCUUAGCCGCCGACCCCAAGGGAUGUGCCUUCUGGUCACUGGCCCUCGUUUCUCGCCCUGGGCUUGGAUCAGCAUGGGUUGGCGUUCAGGUCUGAAGUAGGGCUGUGGCGGCGGAGGCCCAGGUGGACAGGCCUCCCUCGCUCCCGCUCUGGUCCUCAGUUUCCGCCUCUGUGCAAUGGGAACCAUGGACGAUAGGGCAGAGGUCCAAGCAGGGAGCUGGGAGCUGCUUCCUGGGUUCAGACCCCAGCCCUGUUGUUCCUGGCAACAUGAUCUUGGCAAGUUACCCCACCUCUGAGCCUCCUUUUCUUAGGUGUAUCAGCCGUGUGUGUGUGUGUGGGGGGGGGGGGGGAGGGCCCGAUGCGCUGGGGAGUGGAGAAGCCAGGGUGCCGCUGCUCUGGGGGUAAAGGUGCUCCAGCCUUAGCCAGGGGUCCUGCCUUAACCAAGGGCAAAUUGUAUUUAAAAAUCACGCUUAAGGAGUUCCCAUUAUGGCACAGCAGAAACAAAUCCAGCUAGUAUCCAUGAGGAUGCAGGUUCAAUCCCUGUCCUCACACAGUAGGUUAAGGAUCUAGCCUUGCCAUGAGCUCUGGUGUAGGUCACAGAGGCAGCUCAGAUCAUGCAUUGCUUUGGCUGUGGUGUAGGCUGGCAGCUGUAGCUCUGAUUAGACCCCUAGCUUGGGAACCUCCAUAUGCCGCAGGUGCAGCCCUAAAGAGCAAAAAUAAAAAUAAAUAAAUAAAUGAAAAUCACACUUUCUUGCUAGAAACACCAAAUGUAUAGUAAAAAGUUGCCAAGCCCCUGGAACAGGCUCCUUCUGUUCACCUGCACCUGCUUCACCUGGUGGCGUUUCCCCUCUGGGCACAAACCACAGAGCAGUCCACACCUUCAAAGGAUUCUGGGGGAGAGAGUCGCUCACCUUUGGAGUCUCCGCUUGGGAAGAAGAGACUAGAAUGCUGUCCAGUCACCCUGACCCAGGUGACCCAACUGGCCUGAUAAGACAGAAAUGAUCCCAGAAAACACACUUGCCGUCUUCAUUUGUGUGACCCCUGGGGGUUAAGGAGCUGCCUGUUUCAGUUUUUACCCCUGUCUGCUGAUUAAAAGUGAGUUACGGAAGUCUGCUAGACAAAGCCAGGUCUAAUUUUGGCUGUCAUCACCCACAAACAUGGAAUAAACAGCUCAUCAUUCAUGUAUUCAGUCGAUGUACAGUUAUUAUACACCUGCUCUCGUGCCAGUAACAACUGUGCAUCUUUUCUUAUUGUAAGUAAAAGAAAUAUUUCAGUUAUUCUGGCUUCCUUUUUUCUAUAUAAUUUAAAUUAUUGUGUUCAUUAUGUUCAGCUCCAUAAAAUUCUGACGUGACAGGCAUUUCUAUAUUAUCUCGAGUUUGGUGCAUUGAGCCUAAAAUAACUAGUGAUGUUGGCUCUUAAAAUGAGAGAUGAUGUGGGGACUUGUGUUCUGAUCGGUUACUAAUACAAUUCCACAUGGAACUUUCUAUGAACUCUGCUGCGUAUUAUGUAUCUGUUGGACAACUGCUAUGGUCAAAGGCCUUGCAAACAUGAAGGGAUGCGCAUUAUUGUAACAUCUCUGUCCAGAGUUCACGUAAAGACACAGUGUUUCACCCCGUGUAUGUCAUUAGGAUACAUUGUGAAUCUUAGGAAUUUAGUGGAAGGCACAGCGGGCAUGGGCUUGGGUGUUAUCGGACCUGCGUGGACUUAGGUGUUAUCGGACCUGCCGUUGCAGGGCUGGGGUCUCACGCUGUAGCGGAUGGAUGGAGCCACACAAGGGCUGAGUGACUUGCUCAGGGUCAUGGCAGGGAAUUAAGUGAAGAGCGAGGCUAGAGCGCUGUCAGAGGACAGCGUCCCUGGACUCCGGGAAUAGUGACUGCCGACCAGCUAAGUUAACAGGCGACUGGUCUGCUCAGGCUGCCAUGGCAAAGUGCCCCAAUGGGGCUUAGACACCAGACAUUGGUUUCUCGUGGAGACUCAAAUUCUGAGGUCAAGGUGUCAACAGGGCUAGUUUCUGCUGAGGCCUCUGUCUUGAUGUGGAGACGGCCGUCUUCUUGCUGUGUGUGUGUGUGUGAGUGUGUGUGUUCCUGAUCUUCCUUCCUCUUCUAUAAGGACACCAGUCGUGCUGGAUUAGGAACCACCUAAUGGCCUCCUUUUACCCCGACCACCUCUUUAAAGACCUUAUCUCCAAAUCCAGUCACAUGCCAAGGUCCUGAGGGUUAGAACUUCAACCUGUGCGUUUCGUGGGGACAGAUUUCAGUCCAGCGGGAGAUGAGUUUCCAUUUAUGCGCAGAGCAGCUUUCUUGGCCAGAAGAAAGGACGAGGACAAAUAAGAGCGUCCUUCAAAAGCUCCCCUAUUUAAUCGCUGCAGAAACUUUGUGCCGCCCCUAAUCGCAGAGACAGGCCCUGGUCUGGAUGGAAUGGGGUUUCUGGGCCCAACCCUGCGGCAGCAAUCCCAUGGGAAGCUCCUUGCACACUCCUGCUUUUUAUGACUCCACCUGCCCUCCAGCCCAAGGGAGAUGGUCGGGGUUGAUUUGAUCGGGGGCCAGAGACGAGACUGGACAGAGGCGGCACCUCUACACUCCUUCCUGGCAGCGAGUAAGCGGUAAAGUCCCAGUGGAGAGAGAUGAUCCGGCCUGGCCAGUGGGGUUUAACUGUAAACCUCUUGAGGAUGAGAGGCUGUGUGGCACCCUCGCCAGCGCAGAGCCUCUCCGUGGUCCCUGGACGAAGAAGGCACUUCACCUGGUCCUCGGCCCGCCGGCCCCAGGUCCGCGCUGGCGGCUCUGAUGAGCAGCUCGGCUCAUCGCCCGCGCGUUGGGACAUGGUCCUGCUUCUCUCUGUCUUUACAAGGUCCUCCUGAACUCAACGCUGCUCCGUCUUCCCUGGACCGGCGAGCACACGGAGGUUCGCCAAGGGGAAGUGAGGGCCAGGGCCUGGGGCAUCUUUCCUGCAGGGAGCUCGCCCGUAAGGGUGCUGACUGGGGCCGGGGGAACCUGCGACCCUCAGGGGGCAGAGUGGGCAGUGCGGGCUCUGCAGGAGCCGGUGCAGGGGAGGGGUGGGGUGGCCCGUGCCAGGCAUCUUCAAGCCCCUUCUACGGGGUCACCUCUGGUGGAGAGAGUCUCAAAGGGGUGGCAUGUGUGACACAGAAGAGCUCACUUACUUACUCGUCAUGGGCAGGGAAGUCGUGCGUUCGUUCUUGGAGGAUUGCACCUCCAAGGUGAAAAUUUAUUCUAAAAACCUUCUGGCAGGAAGCAGGUGCUCACGCUCUGGGUGCGCUGCCCCCCAGGGUGUGUCCUCGAGGGGGAUGCGAGCGCUCCCAGCCGCCGGUUCUGCUGCAGGUGGGAGGGACACAGAAGGAUGCGCUGGCGGAAGCGCAGUGGGAUCGGUUCACCUGCCCACACGCCCUGCGUCCAGGAAGUUUAGGGGACCUGGCGGGCUGCUGACCGGAAGGCUGGGCUCCUUUCCUGGGUGAGCCUUUUGGGACGGACUUAAGCUCACCUGACUCGCCAGUGUCAGAAAUACAGAAACCUGCCAAGUCUGACCCCCUAUUAAACUCAGCGCGAAAGAGGACGUUGGGAGCCUUGGCUGUAGACGUAGCCAAACCCUGAAACUCCACUGACAAAUGCCUGAGGAGCUCUGCUGACUUUGAGAGGCCUCCUCUAUUUUUUUGGCUCCCCUGUCCCAUCAGAACAAAAAUCUGUUUUUCUGCUCACACAAUGUCACGGGACUUGUAAAAGCUUGACGGGGAUGACGACUCAAACAAGGGGAUUGAAUAAUGUUCUCUGGGGCGCAGCCCAAGUGCCUUCGAGCUUAUGUUUUAAAAAAUAACGUUCUUGUAUCCUUCAGAUGCUCCGCAUGCGAAGCAUGUCUGCCUGUUUAGCGCAUAAACAGAACGAGGGCAAGACGCAAUGAUGGAUUUGCACUAACUCUUUUGGGCUAAACAGCCAAGUAUAGUUUUUUGUUUGCUUUUUAUCCUCAAAUAUGGAAAAGCAAACAGAAAACGCAUCAUGUUACAGAAUGAUACACUCUGUUGAGAAAUAGUGGGGGAUGUGGAAAUGCCUAUUCUGGGGCUGGGAUGGUCCCCCUCCCCCAAGGUGGCAAAGCUGGGGGCUGCAGGUGUUCAGAGGAGGUCAAGGUCUUCCUCCAAAGCAAACAUCCCUGCGAGGCUGGGGGUCCCCGCUGCAGAGCCUGGGAAACAGCCGAGCUGCCCAGGAAAGAGUGUCCCUCAGCAGAGAGGACCGGGCCCCGUGACAGAGUUUAUGGGGAGAGGAAACGGGAGCUAUUUCGGGGCCUUCAUAUCUGCUUGUGCUGUGCAUCGUUUCCUCCCUGACACUUCCAGCUAAAGAAGCCAGUGUUUGUUUGAAGGUUAGAUUCCUAUGUAUUUUUAGCUGCCAUGAGACUGUGACCUGUUUCGGAGGCGUCUUUGAUAAAAUCAAAAUGAAAACUGAGCUCGGGUGAUUCUGCACAUUUUAGUGACACAGGAAAUUAGAAGCGAGGCUUCGUUUUCCAGGCUCAUGCUGUCUAAAUAUCCACUGUUUAAAUAUGUUGUGCUCACCCCAUCCUUUUCCUUUUGCUACUUUGAUGUUGCCUGUCAAUCAUCAGCAGUCAGUAGUGUAUUUCUCAUUACAAAGGGAAUUUGGUAAAAUUGUGAUUUCACUCUUUUUUUUUUUUUAACCUUUGUAUUUUGCUUCUUUAUAACCAAGUAUUUUCAUGAUUCUUUCCAACCACUUUGGUAAACCAACAAUCAGAAAAGUGGGUUUCAGGAGUCCCCAUCGUGUCUUGGUGGUUAAUGAAUCUGACUAGGAACCAUGAGGUUGCAGGUUCAAUCCCUGGCCUUGCUCAGUGGGUUAACGAUCCACCGUUGCCGUGAGCUGUGGUGUGGGUUGCAGACGCGGCUUGGAUCCCGCGUUGCUGUGGCUUUGAUGUAGGCCAGCUGCUACAGCACUGAUUCAACCCCUAGCCUAUGAACCUCCAUAUGACAUGGGUGCGGCCCUAAAAAGACCAAAAAAAAAAAAAAAAGAAAAGAAAAGAAAAA
This 5418-nucleotide long non-coding RNA is filed under the name Sus scrofa (pig). RNAcentral describes it as "lncRNA (ENSSSCG00005018919.1)". The record is from RNAcentral. Lineage: Eukaryota; Metazoa; Chordata; Mammalia; Artiodactyla; Suidae.